Molecule: ribosomal RNA, 468 nt
Filed under: Neisseria flava
Lineage: Bacteria; Pseudomonadati; Pseudomonadota; Betaproteobacteria; Neisseriales; Neisseriaceae
Description: bacterial SSU rRNA
Rfam family: Bacterial small subunit ribosomal RNA
Source: RNAcentral
AUUGAACGCUGGCGGCAUGCUUUACACAUGCAAGUCGGACGGCAGCACAGAGAAGCUUGCUUCUUGGGUGGCGAGUGGCGAACGGGUGAGUAAUAUAUCGGAACGUACCGAGCAGUGGGGGAUAACUAAUCGAAAGAUUAGCUAAUACCGCAUAUUUUCUGAGGAAGAAAGCAGGGGACCAUUUGGCCUUGCGCUGUUUGAGCGGCCGAUAUCUGAUUAGCUAGUUGGUGGGGUAAAGGCCUACCAAGGCGACGAUCAGUAGCGGGUCUGAGAGGAUGAUCCGCCACACUGGGACUGAGACACGGCCCAGACUCCUACGGGAGGCAGCAGUGGGGAAUUUUGGACAAUGGGCGCAAGCCUGAUCCAGCCAUGCCGCGUGUCUGAAGAAGGGCUUCGGGUUGUAAAGGACUUUUGUCAGGGAAGAAAAGGGCGGGGUUAAUACCCCUGUCUGAUGACGUACCUGAAGAA